This 222-nucleotide ribosomal RNA is filed under the name uncultured bacterium. RNAcentral describes it as "partial 16S ribosomal RNA". It matches the Rfam family "Bacterial small subunit ribosomal RNA", at positions 524 to 743 of the family's 1533-position model. The record is from RNAcentral.
UACGUAGGGUGCGAGCGUUAAUCGGAAUUACUGGGCGUAAAGCGUGCGCAGGCGGUUUUGUAAGCCAGAUGUGAAAUCCCCGGGCUACCACUGGGAAUGGCAUUUGGGACUGCAAGGCUUGGAGUGCGGCAGAGGAGACUGGAAUUCCUGGUGUAGCAGUGAAAUGCGUAGAUAUCAGGAGGAAUACCGAUGGCGAAGGCAGGUCUCUGGGCUGGACACUGA